RNAcentral lists this ribosomal RNA (465 nucleotides) under uncultured bacterium. Its description in RNAcentral is "partial 16S ribosomal RNA". It matches the Rfam family "Bacterial small subunit ribosomal RNA", at positions 28 to 507 of the family's 1533-position model. The record is from RNAcentral.
GACGAACGCUGGCGGCGUGCUUAACACAUGCAAGUCGAACGGAAAGGCCCUGCUUGCAGGGUACUCGAGUGGCGAACGGGUGAGUAACACGUGGGUGAUCUGCCCUGCACUUCGGGAUAAGCCUGGGAAACUGGGUCUAAUACCGGAUAGGAGCCAUUUUUAGUGUGAUGGUUGGAAAGUUUUUUCGGUGUAGGGUGAGCUCGCGGCCUAUCAGCUUGUUGGUGGGGUAAUGGCCUACCAAGGCGGCGACGGGUAGCCGGCCUGAGAGGGUGGACGGCCACAUUGGGACUGAGAUACGGCCCAGACGCCUACGGGAGGCAGCAGGGGGGAAUAUUGCACAAUGGGCGCAAGCCUGAUGCAGCGACGCCGCGUGGGGGAUGACGGCCUUCGGGUUGUAAACUCCUUUCGCUAGGGACGAAGCUUUUUGUGACGGUACCUAGAUAAGAAGCACCGGCUAACUACGUG